Molecule: ribosomal RNA, 386 nt
Filed under: uncultured bacterium
Lineage: Bacteria
Description: bacterial SSU rRNA
Rfam family: Bacterial small subunit ribosomal RNA
Source: RNAcentral
AUUGAACGCUGGCGGCAUGCCUUACACAUGCAAGUCGAACGGCAGCACGGGAGCAAUCCUGGUGGCGAGUGGCGAACGGGUGAGUAAUAUAUCGGAACGUGCCCAGUCGUGGGGAUAACGUAGCGAAAGCUACGCUAAUACCGCAUACGAUCUAUGGAUGAAAGCGGGGGAGUCACAAGACCUCGCGCGAUUGGAGCGGCCGAUAUCAGAUUAGGUAGUUGGUGAGGUAAAGGCUCACCAAGCCGACGAUCUGUAGCUGGUCUGAGAGGACGACCAGCCACACUGGGACUGAGACACGGCCCAGACUCCUACGGGAGGCAGCAGUGGGGAAUUUUGGACAAUGGGCGCAAGCCUGAUCCAGCAAUGCCGCGUGCAGGAUGAAGGCC